UCCGUAGGCUUUCAGGAAAUA
This 21-nucleotide microRNA is filed under the name Ptychodera flava. RNAcentral describes it as "Pfl-Mir-4830-P5_3p* (star (passenger))". The record is from RNAcentral. Lineage: Eukaryota; Metazoa; Hemichordata; Enteropneusta; Ptychoderidae.